This 497-nucleotide ribosomal RNA is filed under the name uncultured bacterium. RNAcentral's name for it is "partial 16S ribosomal RNA". It matches the Rfam family "Bacterial small subunit ribosomal RNA", at positions 28 to 507 of the family's 1533-position model. The record is from RNAcentral.
GAUGAACGCUGGCGGCGUGCCUAAUACAUGCCAGUCGAGCGAACAGACGAGGAGCUUGCUCCUCUGACGUUAGCGGCGGACGGGUGAGUAACACGUGGAUAACCUACCUAUAAGACUGGGAUAACUUCGGGAAACCGGAGCUAAUACCGGAUAAUAUAUUGAACCGCAUGGUUCAAUAGUGAAAGACGGUUUUGCUGUCACUUAUAGAUGGAUCCGCGCCGCAUUAGCUAGUUGGUAAGGUAACGGCUUACCAAGGCAACGAUGCGUAGCCGACCUGAGAGGGUGGUCGGCCACACUGGAACUGAGACACGGUUCAGACUCCUACGGGAGGCAGCAGUAGGGAAUCUUCCGCAAUGGGCGAAAGCUUGACGGAGCAACGCCGCGUGAGUGAUGAAGGUCUUCGGAUCGUAAAACUCUGUUAUUAGGGAAGAACAAAUGUGUAAGUAACUAUGCACGUCUUGACGGUACCUAAUCAGAAAGCCACGGCUAACUACGUG